This 2894-nucleotide ribosomal RNA is filed under the name Stenotrophomonas maltophilia. RNAcentral describes it as "bacterial LSU rRNA". It matches the Rfam family "Bacterial large subunit ribosomal RNA". Lineage: Bacteria; Pseudomonadati; Pseudomonadota; Gammaproteobacteria; Lysobacterales; Lysobacteraceae. The record is from RNAcentral.
GUUAUAUGGUCAAGCGAAUAAGCGCACACGGUGGAUGCCUUGGCGGUCAGAGGCGAUGAAGGACGUGGCAGCCUGCGAAAAGUAUCGGGGAGCUGGCAACAAGCUUUGAUCCGGUAAUGUCCGAAUGGGGAAACCCACCCGCUUGCGGGUAUCCUGCAGUGAAUACAUAGCUGCUGGAAGCGAACCUGGUGAACUGAAAUAUCUAAGUAACCAGAGGAAAAGAAAUCAACCGAGAUUCCGUAAGUAGCGACGAGCGAACGCGGACUAGCCCUUAAGCUGAUUUGGUUCUAGGAAAACGCUCUGGAAAGAGUGGCCAUAGAAGGUGAUAGCCCUGUAUCUGAAAGGGCCAUUUCAGUGAAGACGAGUAGGGCGGGGCACGUGAAACCCUGUCUGAACAUGGGGGGACCAUCCUCCAAGGCUAAAUACUACUGACCGACCGAUAGUGAACCAGUACCGUGAGGGAAAGGCGAAAAGAACCCCGGAGAGGGGAGUGAAAUAGAACCUGAAACCGUGUGCGUACAAGCAGUAGGAGCUCCGCAAGGAGUGACUGCGUACCUUUUGUAUAAUGGGUCAGCGACUUACUGUUCGUGGCAAGCUUAACCGUAUAGGGGAGGCGAAGGGAAACCGAGUCUGAUAAGGGCGCAUAGUCGCGGGCAGUAGACCCGAAACCGGGUGAUCUAGUCAUGCCCAGGGUGAAGGUGCGGUAACACGCACUGGAGGCCCGAACCCACUCCCGUUGCAAAGGUAGGGGAUGAGGUGUGAUUAGGAGUGAAAAGCUAAUCGAACCCGGAGAUAGCUGGUUCUCCUCGAAAGCUAUUUAGGUAGCGCCUCAUAUGUAUCCUCUCGGGGGUAGAGCACUGUUAUGGCUAGGGGGUCAUCGCGACUUACCAAACCAUUGCAAACUCCGAAUACCGAGACGGACUGUAUGGGAGACACACGGCGGGUGCUAACGUCCGUCGUGAAAAGGGAAACAACCCAGACCCACAGCUAAGGUCCCAAAUUUUGUGCUAAGUGGAAAACCAUGUGGAAAGGCACAGACAGCCAGGAGGUUGGCUUAGAAGCAGCCACCCUUUAAAGAAAGCGUAAUAGCUCACUGGUCGAGUCGGUCUGCGGGGAAGAUUUAACGGGGCUAAGCACAGAACCGAAGCUUGGGGUGCAUAACUUUGUUAUGCGCGGUAGAGGAGCGUUCCGUAAGCCGUUGAAGGUGGAUUGAGAAGUCUGCUGGAGGUAUCGGAAGUGCGAAUGCUGACAUGAGUAACGAUAAUGCGGGUGAAAAACCCGCACGCCGAAAGCCCAAGGUUUCCUUGCGCAACGUUAAUCGGCGCAGGGUGAGUCGGCCCCUAAGGCGAGGACGAAAGUCGUAGUCGAUGGGAAGCAGGUUAAUAUUCCUGCACCUCGCGUAAGUGCGAUGGAGGGACGGAGAAGGUUAGGUGUACCAGGCGUUGGUUGUCCUGGGGAAAGGCGGUAGGUUUGGAUCUUUGGCAAAUCCGGGAUCCUCUAAGACCGAGCACCGAGACGAGCCUUUAUGGCGAAGUCACUGAUACCACGCUUCCAGGAAAAGCUCCUAAGCUUCAGCUUACGCAGACCGUACCGUAAACCGACACAGGUGGGUAGGAUGAGAAUUCUCAGGCGCUUGAGAGAACUCGGGUGAAGGAACUAGGCAACAUGGCACCGUAACUUCGGGAGAAGGUGCACCCUUUUUGGUGGCUCGUGCGAGCUAUAGCUGAAGAGGGUCGCAGUAACCAGGCCGCUGCGACUGUUUAUCAAAAACACAGCACUCUGCAAACACGAAAGUGGACGUAUAGGGUGUGACGCCUGCCCGGUGCUGGAAGGUUAAUUGAUGGGGUCAGCCGCAAGGCGAAGCUCUUGAUCGAAGCCCCAGUAAACGGCGGCCGUAACUAUAACGGUCCUAAGGUAGCGAAAUUCCUUGUCGGGUAAGUUCCGACCUGCACGAAUGGCGUAACGACAGCGGCGCUGUCUCCACCCGAGACUCAGUGAAAUUGAAAUCGCUGUGAAGAUGCAGCGUUCCCGUGGCAAGACGGAAAGACCCCGUGAACCUUUACUAUAGCUUUACACUGAACGUUGAGUUCGUCUGUGUAGGAUAGGUGGGAGGCUAUGAAACCAUGGCGCUAGCUGUGGUGGAGCCAUCCUUGAAAUACCACCCUGUCGUGCUUGACGUUCUAACCUGGGCCCAUUAUCUGGGUCGGGGACCGUGUAUGGUGGGUAGUUUGACUGGGGCGGUCUCCUCCUAAAGAGUAACGGAGGAGCUCGAAGGUACGCUCAGCGCGGUCGGACAUCGCGCACUGUGUGCAAAGGCAUAAGCGUGCUUGACUGCAAGAUCGACGGAUCAAGCAGGUAGGAAACUAGGACUUAGUGAUCCGGUGGUUCUGUAUGGAAGGGCCAUCGCUCAACGGAUAAAAGGUACUCCGGGGAUAACAGGCUGAUACCGCCCAAGAGUUCAUAUCGACGGCGGUGUUUGGCACCUCGAUGUCGGCUCAUCACAUCCUGGGGCUGUAGUCGGUCCCAAGGGUAUGGCUGUUCGCCAUUUAAAGUGGUACGCGAGCUGGGUUCAGAACGUCGUGAGACAGUUCGGUCCCUAUCUGCCAUGGGCGUUGGAGAUUUGAGAGGGGCUGCUCCUAGUACGAGAGGACCGGAGUGGACGAACCUCUGGUGUUCCGGUUGUCACGCCAGUGGCAUUGCCGGGUAGCUAUGUUCGGAAGCGAUAACCGCUGAAAGCAUCUAAGCGGGAAGCGCGCCUCAAGAUGAGAUCUCCCGGGGCACAAGCCCCCUGAAGGAACCAUGUAGACUACGUGGUUGAUAGGUCAGGUGUGUAAGUACAGCAAUGUAUUGAGCUAACUGAUACUAAUGAUCCGUGCGGCUUGACCAUAUAACCU